GGAAGAAGCCAUAUCACCCUGCAACUCACAACUGGCAACCCACUGAAGCUAAGCAGGUGUGAGACUGGUCAGUACCUGGAUGGGAGACCUCCUGGGAAAAACUAAGGUUGCUGCUGGAA
Ribosomal RNA from Lepisosteus oculatus (spotted gar), 119 nucleotides. The record is from Ensembl. Lineage: Eukaryota; Metazoa; Chordata; Actinopteri; Semionotiformes; Lepisosteidae.